CAUGCGAGUCGAGAGGGUUAGACCCUCGGCGGACGGCUCAGUAACACGUGGGUAAUCUACCCUCAGGACAGGGAUAACCCCGGGAAACUGGGGAUAAUACCUGAUAGGUGGAGAGGUCUGGAAUGAUUCUUCGCUUAAAGCCCCGGCGCCUGAGGAUGAGCCUGCGCCUGAUUAGGUUGUUGGCGGUGUAAUGGACCACCAAGCCGAAGAUCAGUACGGGCAGUGAGAGCUGUAGCCCGGAGAUGGGGGCUGAGACACGGCCCCAGGCCCUACGGGGCGCAGCAGGCGCGAAAACUCCGCAAUGUUCGAAAGAACGACGGGGGAACUCCAAGUGCACUUGCGCAAGUAAGUGGUUUUNAGUAGUGUAAAUAGCUGUUAGAAUGAGAGCUGGGUAAGACCGGUGCCAGCCGCCACGGUAACACCGGCAGCUCGAGUGGUGACCGCUUUUAUUGGGCCUAAAGCGUUCGUAGCCGGUUCAUUAAGUCUUUGGGCAAAUCUUCUCGCUUAACGAAAAGAAUUCCGAAGAUACUGCUGGACUUGGGGCCGAGAGAGGUUAGAGGUACUCCUGGGGUAGGGGUGAAAUCCUAUAAUCCUGGGGGGACCGCCAGUGGCGAAGGCGUCUAACCAGAGCGGACCCGAC
RNAcentral lists this ribosomal RNA (640 nucleotides) under uncultured archaeon. Its description in RNAcentral is "bacterial SSU rRNA". It matches the Rfam family "Archaeal small subunit ribosomal RNA", at positions 50 to 695 of the family's 1478-position model. The record is from RNAcentral.